GAUGAACGCUGGCGGCGUGCUUAACACAUGCAAGUCGAACGGAGAUGUUGUGUGAGCGGAGAGUGCUUGCACUUAACAAUCUUUCAACAUCUUAGUGGCGGACGGGUGAGUAACGCGUGGGUAACCUGCCUCAUACAGGGGGAUAACACUUAGAAAUAGGUGCUAAUACCGCAUAAGCGCACAGAGUCGCAUGACUCAGUGUGAAAAACUCCGGUGGUAUGAGAUGGACCCGCGUCUGAUUAGCUAGUUGGUAAGGUAACGGCUUACCAAGGCGACGAUCAGUAGCCGGCCUGAGAGGGUNAACGGGCCACAUUGGGACUGAGACAGGCCCAAAAUCCCUAACGGGAGGCAGCAGUGGGGAAUAUUGCACAAUGGGGGAAACCCUGAUGCAGCAAACGCCGACGUGAGCGAAGAG
Molecule: ribosomal RNA, 415 nt
Filed under: uncultured bacterium
Lineage: Bacteria
Description: bacterial SSU rRNA
Rfam family: Bacterial small subunit ribosomal RNA
Source: RNAcentral